Molecule: transfer-messenger RNA, 104 nt
Filed under: Xanthomonas campestris pv. raphani
Lineage: Bacteria; Pseudomonadati; Pseudomonadota; Gammaproteobacteria; Lysobacterales; Lysobacteraceae
Description: transfer-messenger RNA Xanth_campe_33913
Rfam family: transfer-messenger RNA
About the family: Bacterial tmRNA, also known as 10Sa RNA or SsrA, is named for its dual tRNA and mRNA-like properties. Its role is to liberate the mRNA from a stalled ribosome.
Source: RNAcentral
UGCCCGCCGUGCUGCCUGGGAACGAGAUCUAACGGAGGGAUAAGCAUGUAGUGCUGGGGAUGGAGUGCUUCCGGACGGCGGUUCGAUUCCGCCCACCUCCACCA